This 253-nucleotide ribosomal RNA is filed under the name uncultured bacterium. Its description in RNAcentral is "partial 16S ribosomal RNA". It matches the Rfam family "Bacterial small subunit ribosomal RNA", at positions 524 to 776 of the family's 1533-position model. The record is from RNAcentral.
AACGUAGGACGCAAGCGUUAUCCGGAGUUAUUGGGCGUAAAGCGCACGUAGGCGGCUUGGCAAGUCGGAUGUGAAAUCCCUCGGCUCAACCAAGGAAGUGCAUCCGAAACUGCUGAGCUUGAGUACUUAAGAGGAUCGCGGAAUUCCCGGUGUAGAGGUGAAAUGCGUAGAUAUCUGGAGGAACACCGGUGGCGAAGGCGGCAUCCUGGACCGACACCGACGCUGAGGAGCGAAAGCCAGGGGAGCAAACGGG